CUCUUCUCCUUUUAUCUCCUCCUCCCGAUCCCCACAUCCCCGCCGAACUCCAUCUUCCCCAAACCCAUCGCCGACGUCGCCAUCCUUCCCUUCUCCCUCUUGCGAGCUCCCGUGCCCUAGCACUGAAGCCACAGUCGCCUCUCCCUUAUUCCCUCUCGUUCCGGUUGACCCCUUUCUUCCCCGAGCUCCCUUCCUCGCACGCGAGCACACAGCAGCCGGCGACCUCUCCUCCUCACAACAGCACCAGAGUCGCGUCCAGCCGCCGGAUCUCUCCCUCACGCGGGUAGCACAGCGACGAUCCUCCUCCAUCGACGGAGCUUGUCCAAUGAAUGUUCUCCCUCUCGAAUCACCGACCAAGGCCCCUUCUCCACUGAUCUCGCUUCUUUGACGGCACAACCACCACAGCCAACUGCUAGUGGCCAACAUAUGUUGCUGUGGAUCGUCAUCGGAGCAGUGGCGACACCAUUCUUUCCCUCCUAGCCGAGCCCUAGCCUCGAUUGGUGGAGGUCGAUGCUGAAUGGGCGUUGAUUGAGACGGUUGACUUGACGGGACGUGGUUUGGUUCAUACUAGAUAUCGAAGGCGGGUACUUCUUACUUUGUCUCUUUAGUUCUUUGAACUUAAUACGUGAGCUAUUUUUGGAUAGAAACUUCUUUUACCUUGACUCCACUCUUAUUUUUCCUGUACUUGAUACUUCCACGUGAUCUUUGAGAAAUUCGUUUCCAUAUCUAUGCAGUCUAUCGUUGUUGUUCAUAAUAUGUAGCAUAUACUAGAUACCAUGGUUGUAUACUUUGUUUGUUGUUUAUUUAAGUAUUAUAUUGAACAUGCUGGCUUCAUGUAUCAUACCUAAUUUUCUA
Molecule: long non-coding RNA, 855 nt
Organism: Zingiber officinale
Lineage: Eukaryota; Viridiplantae; Streptophyta; Magnoliopsida; Zingiberales; Zingiberaceae
Exons: 2
Source: RefSeq, a predicted model, not a curated record